AAAAAAUCCAAAGGAAAAAAUCUGAAAGAUUACACAUCUAUUUUGCAGGUAAUUAUUUAGGUCUUGAGGUCAAAGAUAUGGGUUCAUAUAUAAAGUCAAACUUAGGAUCUUUGUUACUCGACUCUCUUUUUCCACUUUCUUGUCACUUCUUUCUUGUUUGGUCUCAAUAAAAGUUUAAAAUACCAACAAUUCUUACAAAAAAACAUGAUGGGAGGAAGAAGACACGAAGAACAAUCAUUAACAAAUGUGUCAAUACCAGGUUUAUGCUUCAGUUGUGUUCAGUGAUCUCCUUUGCAUUUAUAGUUCCUGUUGAGUCCACUCAUUGGCAUAUGUUAAAAAUCCUCCCACAUCAGUCUCUUCUCUACUGAUGUAGAGCUUCUCUUGGAUGUUUUCUUGGGUCCAUGUCAGUCUGCUCAUGAUGCUCAGGCUCAGAGAGUGAGGACUCCACUGCAGUGUUUUCUCCAGCAGGAUGAAGCAAAGGAUCAUGGGAAGGAAAUGAGGCCUCAGCUGGUGGGAAAGGUUUCCAGAUGAGCUGAGCGUGAUGAUGUCAUCGCUGCAGGGGGAGGAGCUUUACCGUCAGAAGGCGGAGCCAAGACUCUACUGUCAUCAGACGGCGGGAACAGAACUAUAUUUUUCAGCUGCAGGGAGGAGCUUUGCGUCUUCACCACACACCGUUUACCGUAAACCCAACCUCAGCCACCUCAGACGUCCUCAGGCAGCAGCUCCUCCAAUUCUGCCCUUCCUGCCACAUUCCUCACCUGAACCACAGUCCUGCCUCCUGACCCUGGAUCAGAAAGGAUGGAGGUGGGAGGCUCAAGGUGAAGUUCAAUGGCAAAGGAGGCAGACUAUAAACUACAUAUUUGGAAUCUGAGGAUCCAUCAAAGAUAUAAUAAAGUAAACUCAUAAAUUUUACAUCUAAACUCAAACUUUGCAUGUGAGAAAAUGUCCUAGUUUAAAUAAAAUCUGUGAUUG
Molecule: long non-coding RNA, 972 nt
Organism: Amphiprion ocellaris (clown anemonefish)
Lineage: Eukaryota; Metazoa; Chordata; Actinopteri; Pomacentridae
Source: Ensembl